AACGAACGCUGGCGGCAGGCUUAACACAUGCAAGCCGAACGGAUGUAGCAAUCCCUCAGUGGCAGACGGGUGAGUAACACGUGGGAACCUUCCUAGGGGGACGGAACAACUCAGGGAAACUUGAGCUAAUACCGUAUACGUCCGUGAGGAGAAAGAUUUAUCGCCCUUAGACGGGCCCGCGUCGGAUUAGCUAGUUGGUGGGGUAACGGCCUACCAAGGCGACGAUCCGUAGCUGAUCUUAGAGGAUGAUCAGCCACACUGGGACUGAGACACGGCCCAGACUCCUACGGGAGGCAGCAGUGGGGAAUCUUGGACAAUGGGCGCAAGCCUGAUCCAGCCAUGCCGCGUGAGUGAAGAAGGUCUUCGGAUUGUAAAGCUCUUUUGCCAGGGACGAUAAUGACGGUACCUGGAGAAUAAGCCCCGGCAAACUUCGUGCCAGCCGCCGCUGUAA
RNAcentral lists this ribosomal RNA (451 nucleotides) under uncultured bacterium. RNAcentral's name for it is "partial 16S ribosomal RNA". It matches the Rfam family "Bacterial small subunit ribosomal RNA", at positions 29 to 523 of the family's 1533-position model. The record is from RNAcentral.